Molecule: transfer RNA, 57 nt
Filed under: Ignavibacteria bacterium
Lineage: Bacteria; Pseudomonadati; Ignavibacteriota; Ignavibacteria
Description: tRNA-Gly
Rfam family: tRNA
About the family: Transfer RNA (tRNA) molecules are approximately 80 nucleotides in length. Their secondary structure includes four short double-helical elements and three loops (D, anti-codon, and T loops).
Source: RNAcentral
AAUUCAGUGGUAGAAUGUUUGCUUCCCAAGCAAAAUGUCGCGGGUUCGAUCCCCGUC